Molecule: ribosomal RNA, 253 nt
Filed under: uncultured bacterium
Lineage: Bacteria
Description: partial 16S ribosomal RNA
Rfam family: Bacterial small subunit ribosomal RNA
Source: RNAcentral
UACAGAGGUCUCAAGCGUUGUUCGGAUUCAUUGGGCGUAAAGGGUGCGUAGGCGGCGCGGUAAGUCGGGUGUGAAAUCUUGGAGCUUAACUCCGAAACUGCAUUCGAUACUGCCGUGCUUGAGGACUGGAGAGGAGACUGGAAUUUACGGUGUAGCGGUGAAAUGCGUAGAUAUCGUAAGGAAGGCCAGUGGCGAAGGCGAGUUCCUGGACAGUUACUGACGCUGAGGCACGAAGGCCAGGGGAGCAAACGGG